CGGGUCCUCUGUUCAGGAGACAGAGGCUUUAUGGAGUCGGCACCAGUUACAACAACCACAAAUGGAUAAACCCCGGCCUAUUUCUACAAUUCAUCUUAUUUUAAUCUGUUUUUCAAACCUAACCACACUGCUAGCACUAUGCUUAACCAUAACCUUACAUUAACACAAAAAAGAAGCGAAUUGUUGUUUUAUUAAUAGCGCGUUUACUUUUUGUGGCUGUGGUAACUAACUAGUGACGACCGUAUAGCCACCAAUCACCUCAUUUAAAAGGUGGGAAAAUGGUACUAAUCACACCAUUCAUAUGGUGAACGUGGUAUCCCACAUGACACCUUUUAAUGGUGUGAUUUAGUGGCUAAUCGGGUUCACCAGGUAACAGUAAUAGUUUGUUUUUAACUAAAUCAUCUUGACCUCACAUGCUAACGUUAUUUGACUCAGUGUAUCACGGUCAUGGUGUAGUUUGGAGAACUGUGAUAAUAUUUGAUGGUACCGUUUACUUGGCGUCAAUACGUGAGUUCAUACUGAGCAAUCACCAUCUGCUGAAUGUUUUUUUGGGAUGUUGGAGGGAAAAAAUGAUCUGGAAAAAGCUUGUUGACCUGCGCGCUAAUAUUUGCACAUUGUCUCGCUAUGAAAAGGGGCUGAAGUGGAGAAGUUCACAGAUACUGGCUGACAAGAUUCCAGGAAAUAACUAUGUGAUGAAGGGGUCAGGCCUGACUAACAAAGAAGAUAGAUCAAGACAACCAAGAGGAUCAACAUGGCCUUUCCACAGAGGAGACAAAGGAAAACUAUAUAUAUAUAUAUAUAUAUAAGCAUGGGUUAUUGAAAGAUACCAGCGGG
RNAcentral lists this long non-coding RNA (834 nucleotides) under Salmo salar (Atlantic salmon). RNAcentral describes it as "lncRNA (ENSSSAG00000103903.1)". Lineage: Eukaryota; Metazoa; Chordata; Actinopteri; Salmoniformes; Salmonidae. The record is from RNAcentral.